UACGUAGGGGGCAAGCGUUGUCCGGAAUCAUUGGGCGUAAAGAGCGUGUAGGCGGCUCGAUAAGUCCGCUGUGAAAGUCCAGGGCUCAACCCUGGAAGGCCGGUGGAAACUGUCGGGCUCGAGUCCGGAAGAGGCGAGUGGAAUUCCUGGUGUAGCGGUGAAAUGCGCAGAUAUCAGGAGGAACACCAAUGGCGAAGGCAGCUCGCUGGGACGGUACUGACGCUGAGACGCGAAAGCGUGGGGAGCAAACAGG
RNAcentral lists this ribosomal RNA (253 nucleotides) under uncultured bacterium. RNAcentral's name for it is "partial 16S ribosomal RNA". It matches the Rfam family "Bacterial small subunit ribosomal RNA", at positions 524 to 776 of the family's 1533-position model. The record is from RNAcentral.